AAGAUGCAUCAAUCUAUGCAGAAAAGCAUAAAAAUGUAGGAUAAGAAAAAAAAAGAAAAAGGCCACAUUUGGCUGGUCAAUGUAAUGUUUUUUGACUUUCAUUUUUUUUU
RNAcentral lists this non-coding RNA (110 nucleotides) under Foraminifera environmental sample. Lineage: Eukaryota; Foraminifera. The record is from RNAcentral.